This 375-nucleotide ribosomal RNA is filed under the name uncultured bacterium. Its description in RNAcentral is "bacterial SSU rRNA". It matches the Rfam family "Bacterial small subunit ribosomal RNA", at positions 524 to 898 of the family's 1533-position model. The record is from RNAcentral.
UACGUAGGUGGCAAGCGUUGUCCGGAAUUAUUGGGCGUAAAGAGCAUGUAGGCGGGAUUUUAAGUCUGUUGUUAAAAUGCGGGGCUCAACCCCGUAGUGCGAUGGAAACUGGAAUUCUUGAGUGCAGGAGAGGAAAGGGGAAUUCCCAGUGUAGCGGUGAAAUGCGUAGAUAUUGGGAGGAACACCAGUGGCGAAGGCGCCUUUCUGGACUGUGUCUGACGCUGAGAUGCGAAAGCUAGGGGAGCGAACGGGAUUAGAUACCCCGGUAGUCCUAGCCGUAAACGAUGGGUACUAGGUGUAGGGGGUAUCGACCCCUCCUGUGCCGGAGUUAACGCAAUAAGUACCCCGCCUGGGGAGUACGGCCGCAAGGUUGAA